CAGUCUACCAGUAUCCAUGGGGAUCCAUAGGGGUCCCCACUACACGUGAACCAUUCACUUUAACAACUUAAUUUCAGGGUCGUCCCCAUACCCCGUCCGGUAUGGGCGCUAAAAUGAUAAACCUCAAUACCCCGUCUGGUAUGAGGGUGAAGCGGGCCGUCCUCAUACCCCGUCUGGUAUGAGCACCAAAACAUUUAAAGUCUCAAUACUCCGUCUGGUAUGAGAGACAACGUUC
Molecule: long non-coding RNA, 235 nt
Filed under: Carica papaya (papaya)
Lineage: Eukaryota; Viridiplantae; Streptophyta; Magnoliopsida; Brassicales; Caricaceae
Description: long non-coding RNA (CPAP_LNC012292)
Source: RNAcentral